UCAGUGGAACUUUGUGUGACACUUCCGGUU
This 30-nucleotide non-coding RNA is filed under the name Mus musculus (house mouse). The record is from RNAcentral. Lineage: Eukaryota; Metazoa; Chordata; Mammalia; Rodentia; Muridae.